GUGAGGAAUUUUCCGCAAUGGGCGAAAGCCUGACGGAGCAAUGCCGCGUGAAGGAUGAAGGCCUAUGGGUUGUAAACUUCUUUUCUCAGAAAAGAAUUAUGACGGUAUCUGAGGAAUAAGCAUCGGCUAACUCUGUGCCAGCAGCCGCGGUAAGACAGAGGAUGCAAGCGUUAUCCGGAAUGAUUGGGCGUAAAGCGUCUGUAGGUUGUUUAAACAGUAUUCUGUCAAAGAUUAGGGCUUAACCCUAGAUAGGCAGAAUAAACUUUUAAGCUAGAGGUUGGUAGAGGCAGAGGAAGUUCCCGGUGGAGCGGUGAAAUGCGUAGAUAUCGGGAGGAACACCAAAGGCGAAGGCACUCUGCUGGGCCAAUACUAACACUGAGAGACGAAAGCGAGGGGAGCAAAUGGGAUUAGAUACCCCUGUAGUCC
Molecule: ribosomal RNA, 426 nt
Filed under: uncultured bacterium
Lineage: Bacteria
Description: bacterial SSU rRNA
Rfam family: Bacterial small subunit ribosomal RNA
Source: RNAcentral